CAUUGAUUCGGCUUGAAAUCCACUGAUGCGUAGCCGUUUGAGUGAAAAUACUCAUGCGGUCCUCUGGAUUCUUGUAGAGAUUAUGAAACCCUAGAUCUUGAAUUCUCGCCAUACAAACAUAAAAAGAAAAUAAAUUCAAGAGAAAAAACAUCAUCUCAAGGAUGAGAUCUAUUUAUUGAAAGCAAUUGAAAGGUUUUUUCGGGCUUACCACUAGUAAGAACACCAGUGGAAGCCCCUACAAAGAUUCACAACUGAGAGUAUGAGACCAAGAGGAAAAAAUAUGGUAGAGAUGGAGAGAAAAUAGAGAAGAGAGAAGGAAAACCUUCAAAAAAAAUUAAAAAAACCUUAGCAAUGGAGGCUAGGAAAAACCCUCAUAAAGGAAAAACCCUCAUAAAGGAAAAACCCUAUUAAGUUGAGUAUUACCAUUGAGUGUUAAAAACAACUCACUUUAUAUUUCCAUACUCUAAUUUGAGUUUCACCCUUGGAGUGGUCUAAGACCCCCAAAAUGAAGAAAAAAAAAAAACUAUAUUUACAUUUUUAGCUUUAAAAAUUAAAAUUUCAAAAAUUUAUAUUUAAAUAAAUAAAAUUUUAAAUUUAAGAGAAGAAGUUUGAACGCCUAAUUUAUCGUUUUUAGGUUAUAAUAUUCAAAUUUCAAAAUGUAAAAAUUUAAAAUUUCAGAGAAUAACGGGACCCAAGCCUUGUACCAAGUGCCAAGUAGAAGUUAGAACACCAGUGUUGCAGCUUGUGAAAUAAAUACAAAAUCUUUAGAAAGCUAGGACGACCUAGCGUCAUGAUCAUCACAAUUCUAGAUCUCCGGCCACCGCAACUCCACCUCCGACAACCAAGCUUCUCAUUUUCUUAGCUUCUGUAAAACUAAUUUGAAGGAAGAAACAUGAAUUCCUCAAUUAAAUCAGCCCUUAAACCCCUCUUUCCACUUUCAAUUAUACAAACUCCCACUUUUUCCAUUCCACCGCAUUUAUUCACCGAGCUCGUCGCAAUUCCUCCAAAGCUAAAUCCAAUAAUAACAACAACAAUUACAGAUGGUUGGGUCAUGGAAGGAGCUAUUUUAAGCAAAAUAUAACAAGUAAAGUGAAAGCUUGUGUUCGUAACCUGUUUAAGAAAAACGACAACAAUUACAAAAAACAGAAGGUCGGGUCAUCAAAGGAACCAUUUCAAGCAAAAUUUAAUGAAGAAUGUGAAAGCCUGUGUUGAUUACUUGUCUAAGAGUUGGCAAUCUAUUUUUGGCCAAGAUGACCAGUCAUCUAAUAAGGGUCCUUUGCGGUACAGGAAACCUCAUAAUGGAUCAGGAAGGACUUCUUUUACCAAGGGACGUCAAAAGAAGGAAAGAAGAAGAUAUGAAGAUGACCAUGAUGAUUUCUUCUGGUGGUAUAUGAUAUACUCAUCACGAAAGUCUGAUAAUGACGAUGACGACGAUGACGAUGACUUCUUUUAGUAAUGAAUGGUAGUUAGUUGGUGGCUGAUUGAUGUAACUAGUCAUAUUAUCUGGUUGAUGACUAGUUGGUUGUAUUAGCCGGUUUGACUAUCUAGUUAUACAUAGCUAAUUGUGUAAAAGUGUUUGGUAUGUACUAAAUUGGUUAUUGUUAGUGGUUUAGUGUAUAAAAUAACCAAAAAGCUAACUGUUCAAUUCAAUAGACUAAUUUUAAAAGCUCUUGAGCUUUGU
This is a long non-coding RNA of Chenopodium quinoa (quinoa), 1681 nucleotides long. RefSeq lists it as uncharacterized. The record is from RefSeq and is a predicted model, not a curated record. The transcript has 5 exons. NCBI's taxonomy places the organism in Eukaryota, Viridiplantae, Streptophyta, Magnoliopsida, Caryophyllales, Amaranthaceae.